Molecule: long non-coding RNA, 1091 nt
Organism: Eucalyptus grandis
Lineage: Eukaryota; Viridiplantae; Streptophyta; Magnoliopsida; Myrtales; Myrtaceae
Exons: 2
Source: RefSeq, a predicted model, not a curated record
ACGAAUCACCGAAAUCUCUCCUCCUUAUAACCCUCUCCAUCUCCAACUCCUUCUCUCCACUCCCAACAUCAUCAUCAUCUCUCUCUCUCUCUCUCUCUCUCGCAGAGUGGAGAGGGAGGAGGACGCUUCGGAAGAUGAGACGCAAGCGCGCGUAUCUUCAAGGUCAACUUGAAGAGGUCCCCAUAGAUGGAAUCUUUGCUGGAUUUCAAGCAAAAGCAGCAACACGGAGCUCUUUAGCAAUGGAUGCUUGCUCGUGCUAAUUUGGCGCUAUCCUAUCUGAGCUUUUUCCCCACUACUUCUCUUUUUUCAUUUUUCCAUUUCUAUAUUCUCGUCCUCCCCGUCCCGUUCCGCCCUUCUUGACCUUGUAAGACCUUUUCUUGACCUUGUAAGACCCCCCUCCGUUCCCGCCCCGUCACUUCUCCUUCCGGCCCCGGGCUCUGAAUCGCGAGUGAGCGAUGUAGAGUACGGUCGCCUGCCUUCCCCGUUCCCACCCAACUCAUCUUCUCCUUCCUUGUCUAUCCCUCCUGAGCUACUCCGUCCCGAAAUAAACAAAAAGAAGGCCGAACAUGCCUAUAUCUCCUUUCUCCCGAAACAAAGCUUAUCCGCCUGACAUGCGGACUUAAUUGCAGACUUGAGUCUCUGUUAGCCUCUAAAAUAUGUGAAAAGAAGACUUAGGGAAGGAUAGAAAAGUGUGAAAUAUUACCAGGGUCUCUUCUGGUUUUCUAUGUUUUCUUAGCAAAGAGAGAAUAUUAAUUGCUGUUGCUGUUAUUCUUGAAGUUUUAUAUGGCGUGUAUGUAUGCCCUUUCCGUUGUUGAGUAAAGGGCAAUCGAUUGCAAAUUUCUUUCCCUCUUUUUUCCCUUUUUUUUGUUUUUUUGUAUCUGUAUGGGAGGCAGAAACAUGCGGUUGCCAGGGCAUCAGUUUUGUUGUUUUAUAUGUCGUUGGGAGAGCCUAAAAAUUCAAAAAAACGAAGGAAAAGAUAAAAACAAAGAAAGAGUGCGUGCAGAUCAGAGUAAAUAUUCUCUCACGUCUCUCUCUGGCGAGGGCUUCUCUUCCUCGUGACCGUUCUUAUGUUAUGUACUGUAUUAUUGGAA